UCAUGGUAGCCAGUCUGUAAAUUUAUGUUUUCCCUCUUUUCUAAUUGGGUUUAGAUCUGGUGGUGUCUCUAUUCCGGCCAAAUGCCCAUCAGAUAGGCCGUGACAUUCAGAGUUAAAGUUUUCAGACUCUGCUUGUUCCAACUUUCGUCAAGAUGGCAGUCUUAUGGUUUCUGAAUAUUGUAUAUAGGCCCCUGGAUCUCCAGCCCUGCAGAAGUGUUGUUUACAAUUGAUGAAGGAAAGAUAAUGGUAUAAAUAAUGGCCAGAAAAAAUAACCAGAACAAGGAGCAAAGGAUGCCACGAGAGCACUUAUAGAGGGGAGAAAAUUGUACUGGAGGAGAUAUUGCAACAUAUGGAAUAUACCAAAUGGGAAAGAAGAGGAUUCAUUCUCUUCAUCGUAAAUAAAACUAGGAAGGGUGGAAGGAAGAACAAAGUGCCUCACACUUGCCCUCUGCCUCCAUUUCAGGGUCCAGUGAAAAGAGGAAAACUCCAUGGAACUGCCUUGAAUCUCUUCAGUGGGAGAACAGGACCAUCCAUCUGUUAGUUAGAUGUGAAGCAGCCCUCAGUCUAUAUCAUAGAUAUGGUGGAGCUUGUUGACUCUUAUAAGAUCAUAACAAACCAAACUGAGCUUUUUUUGCUCCAGAAAAUACAAAGAAUGAUGAUUUUACGACGUCCCACGUUUGGCUAACUAAAGUACAUAGACGGGAUUGGAUACCCCUUUCCCCAAAUACAGUGCUUUCAUGUAGCUCAUAAAGUACGUACAAGUGGAGAUCAUCCCAUUCAAAGCAAGGGUGCUUCUUGGACCUAAGAAACUUGAACCACUCAUCAAGUGGAUUAUUAUGUGAACAAAAGGAAUACAGAAGAUUCUGCAAUGAAGAGUCAGGGGUCUUGAGUUCCUGAGCUUACAAAAUAAUAAUGAGCUUCCAUGGGGAAAAACCAUAUGCUUGACUUUGCAUAGUGCAUGCAUGCAUCUCAACCUUACGUCAGCAAUAAACAA
This is a non-coding RNA of Pogona vitticeps (central bearded dragon), 994 nucleotides long. The record is from RefSeq and is a predicted model, not a curated record. NCBI's taxonomy places the organism in Eukaryota, Metazoa, Chordata, Lepidosauria, Squamata, Agamidae.